This 3146-nucleotide long non-coding RNA is filed under the name Mytilus galloprovincialis (Mediterranean mussel). Lineage: Eukaryota; Metazoa; Mollusca; Bivalvia; Mytilida; Mytilidae. The record is from RNAcentral.
AGUGAUUAUUUAGUCAGUUUUCUUCAUUACAUUGCAAGCUUCAAUGCAACAUGAUUUCAUUAUUUUAUUUAGAUAAGAUACCAGACAAGACAGUAGUCACAGACGCAGAAGCAAGGUGAAAACUUAAAUAAAAAAUAAGAAUCAUGUUUAUAUUAAUGUACAAUUUUCACUAGAACUCCGUCAAUAUUUAAGAGUGUUUAACAUUAAUUACAGAAGAAAUUACUGUGGUUUCACAAUAACGAAACCCUUUCAUUUUAUUUGAAACAGUGAUUACUUUAGAAAAAAAGUAAAAUAACAAAAAGACUCGAAAUUCCAAGGAAAAAUUAAAACGGAAUGUCCUUUAUCGAAUGGUAAUAAUCGAAAGCUUAAACAUCAUGGAUUUAACCUGGUUUUAUAGCUAGUGAAACCUCCUUGCACUUGCAUAGAAUUUCAUUAUAUUGUUUGAAGUAAUAAUUCUAUUUUGAUGAAUAAUUGAACAAAUAUAUAUGACUACAUAAUUCCCUUCUAAAUAACUUCUACAUAUAAUCAUGUAAAUUUUAUAAGUGUCUGGUUGUAUAUGGUCCCAUGUAAGUGCAGUGAAAUAAAUUUGUAUAUAUUAUUCCGCGUAUACUUAAUACAUUUCUCAGCUCAGAUAUUCAAAAAGUUGUAGCUGUUUGUUUGUCUUUCUGAUAUUAUGUUUUUUUUUUGGUCUGUGUUAUUGUGCUAUGGUAAAUUUUGGUAUUCUCGUCCUUUAUUUUUGCUAAUGUGUUUUGUCUAUAUGUCUUUUUGUGUUUCUUUGUUGCAUAUUUGUUUGGUUUUAUAGUUAUUAUAACUGGAUACUAUGAACUAGUUCAGGUAGGUUCCUAAAAAUUAACUGUUUCAGUUGUCAGAGCUGAAAACAGACGAUGGUCACCAAUGUACCCUAUUUUUGACAUGUUUUGCUUUUAUGUCUGGAUGUUUUUCACUCAUUGUUUUAAAUAUAGUGGAACUAUAUACUGCUGUCAUACAAAUGAGAGAUUUAGCUAGCUAUAAAACAGGUUUACUCCAACAUUUUUUACAUAGGAAAAUGCCCGUAACAAGUCAGGAAUAUGACAAUUACAAUCCAUUCGUUUGGUGUGUUUGAACUUUUGAUUUUUGCCAUUUGAUAACGGUCUUUCCGAAAUGCCUCGAAGUUCGGUAUUUUUGGUAUUUCACUUUCUACAAAUAAUCUUUUGUAAGCGUCUUUGUAAAAUUUACUAUCAACUUCAAAAUAUUUUGUUGGAGUCUUUCUUAGAUAUCUUUGUAUGUUUGUUUGAUCUUUUUAGUCGGCUGUGUUAGAUAUGUCUGUAUUGUAUAUAUAUACAGUAGUCAGCACUUCGGUGUUGACAUGAAUACCAAUUAUGUGAUCAUUUUUAUAAAUUUCCUGAUACAAAACUUUGAAUUUUUCGAAAAACUAAGGAUUUUCUUGUCCCAGGAAUAGAUUACCUUAGCCGUAUUGGGCACAACUUUUUGGAAUUUUGGAUCCUCUAUGCUCUUCAACUUUUAUAUCGUUUGGCUUUAUAACUAUUUUGAUAUGAGCGUCACUGAGGAGUCUUAUGUAGACGAAACGCGCGUCUGGGGUACUAAAUUAUAAUCCUGAUACCUUUGAUAACUAUUGACUGCUGGAUCCCCAUUAUUGUCACAUUAACUUAUUGUGUUUGGUUGUGUUGCAUACCCAAUUUAUUCAAUGCAACGGACCUAUCAACAACUGCGAUACUUGUAUGAAGUUAAUCUAGCUCCAAAAUCAUGUUUUACCUACCAUUUUCAGCCUAUUUUUGAAAAUGAUGCAUCCUUGAUAUUUUCCAGCCGCAGUAAGUUCUUCAUCUUUUAAGCACGGUUUUACACCUUGCAAAACCAACAACUAAGCCUUUCCACAAUGAGUAUGUCGUAAACCCUUACUCUCAUUUCCUUUCACAGUUUGAAGCAGAGAAGAGGAUACUGUGGUACCAGUUUCGAUUGUAGUUGCAGAAGCGGCCAGGUCGCAGUUUGCGUACAUCAUGUCUGCAUAUGUGAGGAUCCAGUUGGAAAAUAGGUAGCUAAAUUUAUAACAAAUAUAUUUUAUAUGAGGAGUUUUCCCGGAUUGAUCAUAUAUAUAUCUUCAACUGAUAUUACGCAUACCUAUUUGUUAUUUUCACUUUGUACACAUUUGCUUCCUGCAUUUUGUGGUGCAGGUUAUUCAUUUCUAUCCUGCCUUGUGCGAACAUAUCUAUUUCAGUUCCAACCAUGCAGGUUAUUUAUUUUAAAAAUGACACUGCUCCCUCCUUAAAAAUCAAUUGGUCGUCCCUUAAUGGUAAUAAGUAAAUCUCAAGAAAGAUGUUUUUAGUCAAACUCCUAUAUGAAGAAUCUCUUUUUAUGUUGCCGAAGACUGCAUAAAAUGCCCCCUCUUUUUUUUUGAAAUCAUUUAUAGUAAAUGAGGGAUUUUUUUUUAUAUAUAGUAAACAUUACAUUACAUCAAAGUUGAUUCACAAAAAAAAACCAAGGAAAAAAAUCACAGUAGGCUAUCCAUUGUUUAAAAAUAAAAAUCUAAUAUUCCGUGCAAACAAUGAAAAAUUAAUCCAAAUACAACAUAGAAAUUCUGCCCCAAACGCUUGUGAUCCAGACGCAAAAUCAGGAACAAUCUUCUGGAGAAGUUCGAAGUUUACAGUCUUCAUAACGAUUUUGUUUACAGAUGCGAUAUGUCUAUGUCUCGAUUAAAGAGGUAUAUUCUUUAGACUGACGACAGUCACACAGAGCUGUAAAUUUAGCUAUGAUUUGACAAAUUCAUAUUUGAGACAUACUUGACUGAGUAUAAAUUCGCAUAUCGGAUAAGGGUGGCUGAUGUCGACUACACUGUUGAAAUAUUCGGUUUAGUUCCAUUUGCAAUUACUUCGUUUUUUAUUAAAUGAGUUUUUGAGCAUUGGUAAACUACUGUUGUCUCUUAUUCAUUAAACAAUUUUCUUCUCUUUUCAGAAGAAAACCUAAAGGUAUUUCAAAGGUUACAUUUGGACAUGUAAAGAAUAGUAUUGAAAAAAUAAAAUUACACUGAAUUAUAUACUGUUAUGACCAAUAGUAUUGAAUUGAAUUUGCUUUGUUUAGUUAUAUUGAAGUUUUAUUACUUGGAGAUAUAGUAAACUCUACUAUGUCAUACAUAAAAUACAAAAUUAAUAAGC